AAGAGGAUGCCUCUGGUUGCCAUUAACAACCAACAAUAAGAGACAGUGAGCUCACAGAGAUGGGGGAGCCCAUCAGAAUAACACAGGAAGAGGUGAUGAACGCCCGGCAUCAUGCUGGGGAUGGAAAACACGGAGGGAAAGACCGAUUCAAGAGCAUCAGGCUGGUAGAAAUGGAGCUAGUUUGAAUACUUCUCCAUGUGACUGAAAGAGACAAUCCAAUAAGACUAACACCAUAUCCUGGAGGUGUCAGGUGGGCCUUCUGGAACAAAGACAGAUGCAGGAGUGGAGGAAGUCAGGUUCUGAGGAGGGAUAGACACAUGAAACCAUGGCCGGAGAUGGACAUGAUGGAAUCAAAGGACAUGGGACUCCAACAUUCACCUUUGCUUUCUUUCUCAACUCUACCCUCCAGCUGUGCCUCAUGACUUGCAGAAUCCCAGUUCCCUGACCAGAGAUUGAACCCGGGCCACAGCAGUGAAAGAAGAGAUCCUGACCACUGGACCGCCAGGGAAUCCCCAGUUUAUCUGUUUUUAAGUCGGGAGAGACUAGAGCAUGUUGUGUGCUCAUGAAAAUAACCCCGUUAAAGAGGAAGGGAUUGAUGAGGAAAGAGUGGGCAGAUAACCGAAGGAACAGGUCCUUGAGAAGAUGAGAAGGAAUGGAAUUCAGGAAACAAGAGAUAGAAUCUUCCUUUCACUGAAGAAACUUGGAUGUGCCUUCCAUUGUGAUAAAGCAAACAUAGGAAUAUUUGUGAAUUUAGUGGUGGGAAGAUGAGGGAGACUCAAGAUAAUUGCAAGAGAGUGAUGCUGUUAUAACCCAUGAAAUCUUGUAUUGGUCGUACUCCUCCACAUUUCAUUUGUUCCCCGAUGCACUCAUCAUUGAUUGAUGAAUCCUUUAUUUUUAUUUAAUUAGUUGUUUGUAGUGAUGUAAUAAGCACCUGCAAAACCACCCGCCAAACUGGAGCCUUGACAAUGACCCACAUCUUUCCCUAUGAUUCCUCCUCCCCCAUGCAUCCCUUGCCUCCCCCAUCCACAGUAACUAUCAUCUUCAAGUCUGUGUACCACAUGCCCUUCGUA
Cervus elaphus (red deer) is the source of this 1070-nucleotide long non-coding RNA. RefSeq lists it as uncharacterized. The transcript has 3 exons. NCBI's taxonomy places the organism in Eukaryota, Metazoa, Chordata, Mammalia, Artiodactyla, Cervidae. The record is from RefSeq and is a predicted model, not a curated record.